UAUUUUGCCCUACAGGGAAGGAUGAGAAGCUUCGACUAAGGUUCGACUCGAGCGAAGCGAGAGAACGUUGCCGCAGGCAACGGCCCGAAGGGCGAGGCGCUUUAGCGCCGAGUAAUCCUUCCCCCACCACCA
This 132-nucleotide small RNA is filed under the name Klebsiella pneumoniae. RNAcentral describes it as "RtT sRNA". It matches the Rfam family "RtT RNA". Rfam says of the family: This family represents a bacterial cis-regulatory element known as RtT RNA. Lineage: Bacteria; Pseudomonadati; Pseudomonadota; Gammaproteobacteria; Enterobacterales; Enterobacteriaceae. RNAcentral also lists the same sequence under 1 other name. The record is from RNAcentral.